AUAGGUAGGACGUGUCGGCU
This 20-nucleotide small RNA is filed under the name Arabidopsis thaliana (thale cress). RNAcentral's name for it is "Ath_wt_06098". Lineage: Eukaryota; Viridiplantae; Streptophyta; Magnoliopsida; Brassicales; Brassicaceae. The record is from RNAcentral.